RNAcentral lists this ribosomal RNA (484 nucleotides) under uncultured bacterium. RNAcentral describes it as "partial 16S ribosomal RNA". It matches the Rfam family "Bacterial small subunit ribosomal RNA", at positions 30 to 507 of the family's 1533-position model. The record is from RNAcentral.
AUUGAACGCUGGCGGCAGGCCUAACACAUGCAAGUCGAGCGGAUGAAGGGAGCUUGCUCCUGGAUUCAGCGGCGGACGGGUGAGUAAUGCCUAGGAAUCUGCCUGGUAGUGGGGGAUAACGUCCGGAAACGGGCGCUAAUACCGCAUACGUCCUGAGGGAGAAAGUGGGGGAUCUUCGGACCUCACGCUAUCAGAUGAGCCUAGGUCGGAUUAGCUAGUUGGUGGGGUAAAGGCCUACCAAGGCGACGAUCCGUAACUGGUCUGAGAGGAUGAUCAGUCACACUGGAACUGAGACACGGGCCAGACUCCUACGGGAGGCAGCAGUGGGGAAUAUUGGACGAUGGGCGAAAGCCUGAUCCAGCCAUGCCGCGUGUGUGAAGAAGGUCUUCGGAUGGUAAAGCACUUUAAGUUGGGAGGAAGGGCAGUAAGUUAAUACCUUGCUGUUUUGACGUUACCAACAGAAUAAGCACCGGCUAACUUCGUG